This 292-nucleotide ribosomal RNA is filed under the name uncultured bacterium. RNAcentral describes it as "partial 16S ribosomal RNA". It matches the Rfam family "Archaeal small subunit ribosomal RNA", at positions 455 to 747 of the family's 1478-position model. The record is from RNAcentral.
GUGCCGCCGCCGCGGUAAUACCGGCAGCACAAGUGAUGGCCGAUAUUAUUGGGCCUAAAGCGUCCGUAGCCGGCCGGACAAGUCCGUUGGGAAAUCUGCGCGCUUAACGCGCAGGCGUCCAGCGGAAACUGUCCGGCUUGGGGCCGGAAGAUCCGAGGGGUACGUUCGGGGUAGGAGUGAAAUCCUAUAAUCCCGCACGGACCACCGAUGGCGAAAGCACUUCGAGAAAACGGAUCCGACAGUGAGGGACGAAAGCCAGGGUCUCCAACCGGAUUAGAAACCCCGGUAGUCC